GGCUCUAUAGUGUAAUGGUAGCACGUGAGCCUACGGAGCUUAUAGUCGGGGUUCAAAUCCCCGUAGAGUCA
Stentor coeruleus is the source of this 71-nucleotide non-coding RNA. The record is from Rfam. NCBI's taxonomy places the organism in Eukaryota, Ciliophora, Heterotrichea, Heterotrichida, Stentoridae.